UACGUAGGGGGCAAGCGUUGUCCGGAUUUAUGGGCGAAAGAGCGUGUAGGCGGCCAUGCAGGUCCGUUGUGAAAACUCGAGGCUCAACCUCGAGACGCCGAUGGAAACCGCAUGGCUAGAGUCCGGAAGAGGAGAGUGGAAUUCCUGGUGUAGCGGUGAAAUGCGCAGAUAUCAGGAAGAACACCCGUGGCUAAGGCGGCUCUCUAGUACGGUACUGACGCUGAGACGCGAAAGCGUGGGGAGCGAACAGG
This 251-nucleotide ribosomal RNA is filed under the name uncultured bacterium. RNAcentral's name for it is "partial 16S ribosomal RNA". It matches the Rfam family "Bacterial small subunit ribosomal RNA", at positions 524 to 776 of the family's 1533-position model. The record is from RNAcentral.